AAACCAACAGGGAUUGCUCUAGUAACGGCGAGUGAAGCAGCAAUAGCUCAAAUUUGAAAUCUGGCGUCUUCGACGUCCGAGUUGUAAUUUGUAGAGGAUGCUUCUGAGUAACCACCGACCUAAGUUCCUUGGAACAGGACGUCAUAGAGGGUGAGAAUCCCGUAUGCGGUCGGAAAGGUGCUCUAUACGUAGCUCCUUCGACGAGUCGAGUUGUUUGGGAAUGCAGCUCUAAAUGGGAGGUAAAUUUCUUCUAAAGCUAAAUAUUGGCCAGAGACCGAUAGCGCACAAGUAGAGUGAUCGAAAGAUGAAAAGCACUUUGGAAAGAGAGUUAAAAAGCACGUGAAAUUGUUAAAAGGGAAGGGAUUGCAACCAGACUUGCUCGCGGUGUUCCGCCGGUCUUCUGACCGGUCUACUCGCCGCGUUGCAGGCCAGCAUCGUCUGGUGCCGCUGGAUAAGACUUGAGGAAUGUAGCUCCUUCGGGAGUGUUAUAGCCUCUUGUGAUGCAGCGAGCGCCGGGCGAGGUCCGCGCUUCGGCUAGGAUGCUGGCGUAAUGGUCGUAAUCCGC
RNAcentral lists this ribosomal RNA (565 nucleotides) under Cladosporium sp. G27. RNAcentral describes it as "eukaryotic LSU rRNA". It matches the Rfam family "Eukaryotic large subunit ribosomal RNA", at positions 62 to 648 of the family's 3401-position model. RNAcentral also lists the same sequence under 2 other names. Lineage: Eukaryota; Fungi; Ascomycota; Dothideomycetes; Cladosporiales; Cladosporiaceae. The record is from RNAcentral.